Molecule: unclassified non-coding RNA, 379 nt
Filed under: uncultured bacterium
Lineage: Bacteria
Description: contains 16S-23S intergenic spacer region
Source: RNAcentral
UCCCCGUUCACCGGGGCAGUCCCCGCAGAGUGCCCGGCAUGACCCGGUAGCAACAGCGGGCGAGGGUUGCGCUCGUUGCGGGACUUAACCCAACAUCUCACGACACGAGCUGACGACAGCCAUGCAGCACCUGUGCACAGGCCCCAAAGGGAGGGCGACUUUCAUCACCUGUCCUGCACAUGUCAAACCCAGGUAAGGUUCUUCGCGUUGCAUCGAAUUAAUCCGCAUGCUCCGCCGCUUGUGCGGGCCCCCGUCAAUUCCUUUGAGUCUUAGCCUUGCGGCCGUACUCCCCAGGCGGGGCACUUAAUGCGUUAGCUACGGCGCGGAAAACGUGGAAUGUCCCCCACACCUAGUGCCCAACGUUUACGGCAUGGACUAC